This 701-nucleotide ribosomal RNA is filed under the name Pantoea sp. 5hN3. Its description in RNAcentral is "bacterial SSU rRNA". It matches the Rfam family "Bacterial small subunit ribosomal RNA", at positions 68 to 762 of the family's 1533-position model. Lineage: Bacteria; Pseudomonadati; Pseudomonadota; Gammaproteobacteria; Enterobacterales; Erwiniaceae. The record is from RNAcentral.
UAGCACAGAGAGCUUGCUCUCGGGUGACGAGUGGCGGACGGGUGAGUAAUGUCUGGGAAACUGCCCGAUGGAGGGGGAUAACUACUGGAAACGGUAGCUAAUACCGCAUAACGUCGCAAGACCAAAGUGGGGGACCUUCGGGCCUCACACCAUCGGAUGUGCCCAGAUGGGAUUAGCUAGUAGGUGGGGUAAUGGCUCACCUAGGCGACGAUCCCUAGCUGGUCUGAGAGGAUGACCAGCCACACUGGAACUGAGACACGGUCCAGACUCCUACGGGAGGCAGCAGUGGGGAAUAUUGCACAAUGGGCGCAAGCCUGAUGCAGCCAUGCCGCGUGUAUGAAGAAGGCCUUCGGGUUGUAAAGUACUUUCAGCGGGGAGGAAGGCGGUGGAGUUAAUAACUUCACCGAUUGACGUUACCCGCAGAAGAAGCACCGGCUAACUCCGUGCCAGCAGCCGCGGUAAUACGGAGGGUGCAAGCGUUAAUCGGAAUUACUGGGCGUAAAGCGCACGCAGGCGGUCUGUCAAGUCGGAUGUGAAAUCCCCGGGCUUAACCUGGGAACUGCAUUCGAAACUGGCAGGCUAGAGUCUUGUAGAGGGGGGUAGAAUUCCAGGUGUAGCGGUGAAAUGCGUAGAGAUCUGGAGGAAUACCGGUGGCGAAGGCGGCCCCCUGGACAAAGACUGACGCUCAGGUGCGAAAGCGU